GGGGGUAGAGCUCGGGGGUAGAGCAUUUGACUGCAGAUCAAGGGGUUCCCGGUUCAAAUCUGGGUGCUUUCU
Molecule: transfer RNA, 72 nt
Filed under: Erinaceus europaeus (western European hedgehog)
Lineage: Eukaryota; Metazoa; Chordata; Mammalia; Eulipotyphla; Erinaceidae
Rfam family: tRNA
About the family: Transfer RNA (tRNA) molecules are approximately 80 nucleotides in length. Their secondary structure includes four short double-helical elements and three loops (D, anti-codon, and T loops).
Source: Rfam by way of RNAcentral